UUCAGUAUGGCAGAGUAGUGCAAUGAACUUAAGAUUCUUAUAUAAAUUUUAUUUUGCUGACA
RNAcentral lists this transfer RNA (62 nucleotides) under Scaphoideus varius. Its description in RNAcentral is "tRNA-Leu". Lineage: Eukaryota; Metazoa; Arthropoda; Insecta; Hemiptera; Cicadellidae. The record is from RNAcentral.